Molecule: ribosomal RNA, 496 nt
Filed under: uncultured bacterium
Lineage: Bacteria
Description: partial 16S ribosomal RNA
Rfam family: Bacterial small subunit ribosomal RNA
Source: RNAcentral
GAUGAACGCUGGCGGCGUGCCUAAUACAUGCAAGUCGAGCGAACAGACGAGGAGCUUGCUCCUCUGACGUUAGCGGCGGACGGGUGGGUAACACGUGGAUAACCUACCUAUAAGACUGGGAUAACUUCGGGAAACCGGAGCUAAUACCGGAUAUAUAUUGAACCGCAUGGUUCAAUAGUGAAAGACGGUUUUGCUGUCACUUAUAGAUGGAUCCGCGCCGCAUUAGCUAGUUGGUAAGGUAACGGCUUACCAAGGCAACGAUGCGUAGCCGACCUGAGAGGGUGAUCGGCCACACUGGAACUGAGACACGGUCCAGACUCCUACGGGAGGCAGCAGUAGGGAAUCUUCCGCAAUGGGCGAAAGCCUGACGGAGCAACGCCGCGUGAGUGAUGAAGGUCUUCGGAUCGUAAAACUCUGUUAUUAGGGAAGAACAAAUGUGUAAGUAACUAUGCACGUCUUGACGGUACCUAAUCAGAAAGCCACGGCUAACUACGUG